RNAcentral lists this ribosomal RNA (388 nucleotides) under Enchytraeidae sp. E6. RNAcentral describes it as "bacterial SSU rRNA". It matches the Rfam family "Eukaryotic small subunit ribosomal RNA", at positions 18 to 385 of the family's 1831-position model. Lineage: Eukaryota; Metazoa; Annelida; Clitellata; Enchytraeida; Enchytraeidae. The record is from RNAcentral.
CAGUAGUCAUAUGCUUGUCUCAAAGAUUAAGCCAUGCAUGUCUAAGCACAGACCUUUACACGGUGAAGCUGCGAAUGGCUCAUUAGGCCACCCAUGAUUUAUUAGAUUGUCGACUCCUACUUGGAUAACUGUGGUAAUUCUAGAGCUAAUACAUGCCGCUAAGCUCCGACGCCCGGCUCUCGGGUCGCGGCGAAAGAGCGCGUUUAUUAGAUCAAAACCAAUCGGGGUUUCGGCCCCGUACACUUGGUGACUCUGGAUAACUUCGAGCUGAUCGCAUGGCCUCGCGCCGGCGACAUAUCUUUCAAGUGUGUGCCCUAUCAACUGUCGAUGGUAAGUGAUAUGCUUACCAUGGUGGUAACGGGUAACGGGGAAUCAGGGUUCGAUUCCG